AGCGUUCUGGAGGUGGUUCUGCACUAAAUGGGAGGGUUGCCCAAAGUUUAAAGUCUCCCUUGAAAUUGAUUGGAUUGGAGGAUGGAAUGUCACAUAUGGAAGCAAGAUAUCCAGCUUUACUGUUUAAACAACAACUAACUGCAUGCGUGGAGAAGAUAUUUGGUCUGAUUCGUGAUAAUUUGAAAAAGGAAAUAUCCCCAUUGCUGGGUCUCUGCAUUCAGGCACCAAAAAUCCAGCGGGUGCAUGGAGGGAAAUCAACGAGAUCACCUGGUGGUAUUCCUCAGCAGGCACCAAGCAGUCAAUGGGAUAGCAUCAUCAAGUUCCUGGAUUCUUUCUUGAGUCGCUUACGCGGAAAUCAUGUGCCUUCAUUUUUCAUCCGCAAGCUGACUACCCAAGUUUUCUCCUUCAUCAAUAUAUCGCUUUUUAACAGUCUUUUACUCCGACGAGAGUGUUGCACAUUUUCAAAUGGAGAAUAUGUGAAGUCUGGUUU
RNAcentral lists this unclassified non-coding RNA (490 nucleotides) under Hevea brasiliensis (rubber tree). Lineage: Eukaryota; Viridiplantae; Streptophyta; Magnoliopsida; Malpighiales; Euphorbiaceae. The record is from RNAcentral.